GAGAGAGGCUCGCCAGCAACAAAGACUGCUAAUCUUCGCCACCAUGGUUGGACUCCAAGGCUCUGCUCG
This 69-nucleotide transfer RNA is filed under the name Scorpaenopsis cirrosa. RNAcentral describes it as "tRNA-Ser". RNAcentral also lists the same sequence under 1 other name. The record is from RNAcentral. Lineage: Eukaryota; Metazoa; Chordata; Actinopteri; Perciformes; Scorpaenidae.